This 87-nucleotide non-coding RNA is filed under the name Tessaracoccus lapidicaptus. Its description in RNAcentral is "Glycine sequence". It matches the Rfam family "Glycine riboswitch aptamer". Rfam says of the family: This family represents the bacterial glycine riboswitch. Glycine riboswitches usually consist of two metabolite-binding aptamers domains with similar structures in tandem. The aptamers cooperatively bind glycine to regulate the expression of downstream genes. The record is from Rfam by way of RNAcentral. Lineage: Bacteria; Bacillati; Actinomycetota; Actinomycetes; Propionibacteriales; Propionibacteriaceae.
GCGACGUUCGCGGGAGAACCGGCCCAGGCCGGUGCCGAAGGAGCAACCGCCCCGGAAACUCUCAGGCCCCAGGACCGCGAACGAGAU